This 253-nucleotide ribosomal RNA is filed under the name uncultured bacterium. RNAcentral's name for it is "partial 16S ribosomal RNA". It matches the Rfam family "Bacterial small subunit ribosomal RNA", at positions 524 to 776 of the family's 1533-position model. The record is from RNAcentral.
GACGAACCGAGCGAACGUUGUUCGGAAUCACUGGGCUUAAAGGGCUCGUAGGCGGUUUGUCGCGUCGGGAGUGAAAACUCAGGGCUUAACCCUGAGCCUGCUUCCGAUACGGGCAGACUAGAGGUAUGCAGGGGAGAAUGGAAUUCCUGGUGUAGCGGUGAAACGCGCAGAUAUCAGGAGGAACACCGGUGGCGAAGGCGGUUCUCUGGGCAUUACCUGACGCUGAGGAGCGAAAGUGUGGGGAGCGAACAGG